UGCAGAAUCCCGUGAACCAUCGAGUUUUUGAACGCAAGUUGCGCCCGAAGCCGUCUGGCCGAGGGCACGUCUGCCUGGGUGUCA
This 84-nucleotide ribosomal RNA is filed under the name Salacia chinensis. RNAcentral's name for it is "partial 5.8S ribosomal RNA". It matches the Rfam family "5.8S ribosomal RNA", at positions 73 to 154 of the family's 154-position model. Rfam says of the family: 5.8S ribosomal RNA (5.8S rRNA) is a component of the large subunit of the eukaryotic ribosome. The record is from RNAcentral. Lineage: Eukaryota; Viridiplantae; Streptophyta; Magnoliopsida; Celastrales; Celastraceae.